RNAcentral lists this ribosomal RNA (886 nucleotides) under Staphylococcus sp. MG87(2013). Its description in RNAcentral is "bacterial SSU rRNA". It matches the Rfam family "Bacterial small subunit ribosomal RNA", at positions 12 to 881 of the family's 1533-position model. Lineage: Bacteria; Bacillati; Bacillota; Bacilli; Caryophanales; Staphylococcaceae. The record is from RNAcentral.
UUUGAUCUGGCUCAGGAUGAACGCUGGCGGCGUGCCUAAUACAUGCAAGUCGAGCGAACAGAUAAGGAGCUUGCUCCUUUGAAGUUAGCGGCGGACGGGUGAGUAACACGUGGGUAACCUACCUAUAAGACUGGGAUAACUUCGGGAAACCGGAGCUAAUACCGGAUAACAUUUAGAACCGCAUGGUUCUAAAGUGAAAGAUGGUUUUGCUAUCACUUAUAGAUGGACCCGCGCCGUAUUAGCUAGUUGGUAAGGUAACGGCUUACCAAGGCGACGAUACGUAGCCGACCUGAGAGGGUGAUCGGCCACACUGGAACUGAGACACGGUCCAGACUCCUACGGGAGGCAGCAGUAGGGAAUCUUCCGCAAUGGGCGAAAGCCUGACGGAGCAACGCCGCGUGAGUGAUGAAGGGUUUCGGCUCGUAAAACUCUGUUAUUAGGGAAGAACAAAUGUGUAAGUAACUGUGCACAUCUUGACGGUACCUAAUCAGAAAGCCACGGCUAACUACGUGCCAGCAGCCGCGGUAAUACGUAGGUGGCAAGCGUUAUCCGGAAUUAUUGGGCGUAAAGCGCGCGUAGGCGGUUUCUUAAGUCUGAUGUGAAAGCCCACGGCUCAACCGUGGAGGGUCAUUGGAAACUGGGAAACUUGAGUGCAGAAGAGGAAAGUGGAAUUCCAUGUGUAGCGGUGAAAUGCGCAGAGAUAUGGAGGAACACCAGUGGCGAAGGCGACUUUCUGGUCUGUAACUGACGCUGAUGUGCGAAAGCGUGGGGAUCAAACAGGAUUAGAUACCCUGGUAGUCCACGCCGUAAACGAUGAGUGCUAAGUGUUAGGGGGUUUCCGCCCCUUAGUGCUGCAGCUAACGCAUAAGCACUCCGCCUGGGAGAC